UAAUACAGAGGGUGCAAACGUUGCUCGGAAUCACUGGGCAUAAAGCGCAUGUAGGCGGUCUCCUAAGUCUGGUGUGAAAUCCCUCGGCUCAACCGGGGAACUGCAUUGGAUACUGGGAGGCUCGAGAGUUGUAGGGGUGGACGGAACUCCAGGUGGAGCGGUGAAAUGCGUAGAUAUCUGGAGGAACACCGGAGGCGAAAGCGGUCCACUGGGCAACUUCUGACGCUGAGAUGCGAAAGCUAGGGUAGCAAACGGG
Molecule: ribosomal RNA, 256 nt
Filed under: uncultured bacterium
Lineage: Bacteria
Description: partial 16S ribosomal RNA
Rfam family: Bacterial small subunit ribosomal RNA
Source: RNAcentral